UAGGAAAGGAAAAGAAAAUAACAACAGUUCUUGCGGUUAAAGCAUCUGUCAAGUGAAGGUAUGCCGCUUGAAUCCUUCUUCUUUUAGUAACCAUCCGUAGACAGCGGCAGUAAUGCCAAGGCAAAAAACUUGAUACUCUGUUCAUAGUCAUCUCAUUAUUGAAAAAGUAAAUGUAAAACUGGCCUGCAAGAUAAAAGCAUUUCCCGGUAACUAAAUGUACAACCUAUGAUCGUCAGUGCUCUUAAUAUUCAGUUACUGGGAAUACCGCUGGAUGAAAUAGUGGAAACUCCAGAUCUUAUAACUUCUAAAUACAUUCUCAACUAAGAUUUUAAGCCAUGAGAUUAUAUGCCAAUAGUUACAUUUAAGUCAUAAAAGGCAGUAAGAAUAAGUUCAGGACACAGUGAGGGAUGAAACUACUUAUUUGAAAACAGUGAAGCAACUCAUUCAAUUUAACUAAUUUUAAGAGAUCCAGUUUUAAGAAUUAAUACUAUACAACUAAGAGCAAGCUACAAAAUAGCCAAUCAAGAAGAUUCAACUGUAUAAACUUGUUAAUUAGAGACAUUGUUUUAACCAAAAUAUUUUAACCACCACUUCCACCAACCACCCCGGUGAAGUGAAAUAUAUAAUAUGGUCAAUCAAGCAUAUUAACAUUAAUAUGUUACAACUAAUAAAAGUGCACUGGGAAGGCAACCAUAAAGCAAGAACAACCGAUGUCAAGAGCACAAAUGAUCACAGUAAUGAGAAAAAGUAACCGAUGUCAAGAGCACUGACGAUCACAGUAAUGAGAAAAAGUAACCAAUGUCAAGAGCACUGACGAUCACAGUAAUGAGAAAAAGUAACACAUGGCAAGAACAAUGGACUGACCAGACCUUCUGAAAUCCCUGGAACUACAUGAUAUUAGAUCCCUGACAACGCACAUAAUACCUACAAAGUAGCUGAUGCGAAAAUGACUUCAAAAUAGUUCUUUGUUUUUCUAAACCCAAACAUAGUUGGGGAGACCUCGAGACAGACAGUUUACGGGUCGGUGGAAGUGGCUGGUGACAAAAUUGAGACACCACCCGUAAGCUUGGUGUGUCAAUGUUUUACAGAUAUGACAAAGAAAUGAGAAAUGGUUGACCUGGCAAUGUUGCUCAGUGUUCAAACAAUCCCAAAAAUGAUAUUGAGAAAUCUAUCCUGGCCUAGAGACAUGAGCUUAGACCAACUUUACAGAAUGCUAAUUCAUGCACUAAACUUCUACCAGAAAUGAUCAUGUAUUGCAGAUUGAGUAAUUAGCGGUGCUGCGUCAAGAACUAUAGAGAAUUCAUGUUUGCAUUAGCACAAAUAAUAAAAUCAAUAGGCAGGCAUGACUGCGUUCACAAGAGAGAAAUGCCAACUUGUUCUUAUUCACUAAAUUGUUCUGGAUUAUUCCUCUUCUUUCUCAGAUCUGCACACAUCUGUUCAGAGAAGCCAGAUAUUAGGAAAUCAAUUCAGAGUGACAAAGGAUGGAGCACCUAACAGAGGUUUGUGAACAACCUCUUCACGCCAUGCCAUAAGAUGACUACUUUCAGCCAGAUUGAUUCCCUGUUUUUAUGAAUAAAACAUAUUGCACGUGAUUGGAUCUUAUUGUUAUAGAUUAGCAAGAAUCUCUAGAUUCUAUCAUCAUAUAUAUCUUACUCCUAAGGUUACAGGGUAACCGUAAUCAUCUACUUGCAAUUUCCAAGACAUUCUUUAUAAAUGUUAUACUACAUGGCACAUGUCUAUGUCCAAAGGCAAUAAUAUGCAACUCAAGGAUCAUAUUCAUAUUGUACCGUAAUUGCAUCCCACAAAAAGAAACCUAUAGGCCUAAGAAACAUAGUAAAUAUCGAUAAUACAUCAUUACCAUGAAAGAAUUUCUCACCUAGAAAUUCGUAUCAAAGAAAGUGUGCGCAGAAGCAACCCAUACAGGUGAACUCAAGAUAUUUAAAUGAACAUAUUCAAAGAUAUUCCACUAC
Molecule: long non-coding RNA, 1970 nt
Filed under: Triticum aestivum (bread wheat)
Lineage: Eukaryota; Viridiplantae; Streptophyta; Magnoliopsida; Poales; Poaceae
Description: long non-coding RNA (TAES_LNC025443)
Source: RNAcentral